This 589-nucleotide ribosomal RNA is filed under the name Phialocephala virens. RNAcentral's name for it is "eukaryotic LSU rRNA". It matches the Rfam family "Eukaryotic large subunit ribosomal RNA", at positions 38 to 641 of the family's 3401-position model. Lineage: Eukaryota; Fungi; Ascomycota; Leotiomycetes; Helotiales; Mollisiaceae. The record is from RNAcentral.
GCAUAUCAAUAAGCGGAGGAAAAGAAACCAACAGGGAUUACCUCAGUAACGGCGAGUGAAGCGGUAACAGCUCAAAUUUGAAAUCUGGCUCUUUUAGGGUCCGAGUUGUAAUUUGUAGAAGAUGCUUCGGGUGUGGCUCCGGUCUAAGUUCCUUGGAACAGGACGUCAUAGAGGGUGAGAAUCCCGUAUGUGACUGGGUGUCUAUGCUCAUGUGAAGCUCUUUCGACGAGUCGAGUUGUUUGGGAAUGCAGCUCUAAAUGGGUGGUAAAUUUCAUCUAAAGCUAAAUAUUGGCCAGAGACCGAUAGCGCACAAGUAGAGUGAUCGAAAGAUGAAAAGCACUUUGGAAAGAGAGUUAAACAGUACGUGAAAUUGUUGAAAGGGAAGCGCUUGCAACCAGACUUGCGCGUUGUCGAUCAUCCGAUGUUCUCACCGGUGCACUCGACUGCGUUCAGGCCAGCAUCAGUUUCGGUGGUUGGAUAAAGGCCUUGGGAAUGUGGCUCCUCUCGGGGAGUGUUAUAGCCCUCGGUGCAAUGCAGCCUACCGGGACUGAGGACCGCGCUUCGGCUAGGAUGCUGGCGUAAUGGUUGU